UACGUAGGUCGCAAGCGUUGUCCGGAUUUACUGGGCGUAAAGAGCGCGCAGGCGGCUGGUCAAGUCCGAUGUGAAAUCUCCCGGCUCAACUGGGAAACUGCAUCGGAAACUGAUCGGCUUGAAGAUGGGAGAGGGUAGUGGAAUUCCCGGUGUAGUGGUGAAAUGCGUAGAUAUCGGGAGGAACACCAGUGGCGAAGGCGACUACCUGGCCCAUUCUUGACGCUGAGGCGCGAAAGCUAGGGGAGCGAACGAG
This 253-nucleotide ribosomal RNA is filed under the name uncultured bacterium. Its description in RNAcentral is "partial 16S ribosomal RNA". It matches the Rfam family "Bacterial small subunit ribosomal RNA", at positions 524 to 776 of the family's 1533-position model. The record is from RNAcentral.